Molecule: ribosomal RNA, 824 nt
Filed under: uncultured bacterium
Lineage: Bacteria
Description: bacterial SSU rRNA
Rfam family: Bacterial small subunit ribosomal RNA
Source: RNAcentral
GACGAGCGCUGUGGCGCGCCUAACACAUGCAAGUCGAACGAGAGAUGAGGAGCUUGCUCUUCAAAUCGAGUGGCGAACGGGUGAGUAACGCGUGAGGAACCUGCCUCAAAGAGGGGGACAACAGUUGGAAACGACUGCUAAUACCGCAUAAGCCCACGGCUCGGCAUCGAGCAGAGGGAAAAGGAGCAAUCCGCUUUGAGAUGGCCUCGCGUCCGAUUAGCUAGUUGGUGAGGUAACGGCCCACCAAGGCGACGAUCGGUAGCCGGACUGAGAGGUUGAACGGCCACAUUGGGACUGAGGCACGGCCCAGACUCCUACGGGAGGCAGCAGUGGGGAAUAUUGCACAAUGGGGGAAACCCUGAUGCAGCGACGCCGCGUGGAGGAAGAAGGUCUUCGGAUUGUAAACUCCUGUUGUUGAGGAAGAUAAUGACGGUACUCAACAAGGAAGUGACGGCUAACUACGUGCCAGCAGCCGCGGUAAAACGUAGGUCACAAGCGUUGUCCGGAAUUACUGGGUGUAAAGGGAGCGCAGGCGGGAGAACAAGUUGGAAGUGAAAUCCAUGGGCUCAACCCAUGAACUGCUUUCAAAACUGUUUUUCUUGAGUAGUGCAGAGGUAGGCGGAAUUCCCGGUGUAGCGGUGGAAUGCGUAGAUAUCGGGAGGAACACCAGUGGCGAAGGCGGCCUACUGGGCACCAACUGACGCUGAGGCUCGAAAGUGUGGGGAGCGAACAGGAUUAGAUACCCUGGUAGUCCGCGCCGUAAACGAUGAAUACUAGGUGUUGGGAAGCGUUGCUUCUCGGUGCCGCAGCAAACGCGAAUAAGU